GAGAAGAGGUGCUCGGAGGAAAGGGUGGGGGCUGCUGAUGUAAUGGGGAGAAGUGAUUAAUCCUUCGGUUCGCCGUUUGAGCCUCCCCCCCACACCCGAUUUUUUAAGCAGAAAAAAAAAAGUGGAGCGAGGGAGCCGAUCUUUGGUAAUUUGGUUUUCUGUGGUAGGUAGGUUCAAAGUCUGAGCUGUAGGGAGCGCUAGAGAUUCUGUGCCCUUUAGCCAAGCUGAGGGUAUGUGCAAACCUUGGAGAUCCAGUUUACGGAGCUUUGAGCUUGAUAACUGAAGUUUGGAGUCGGUUCCUAACCGUCGUCUAAAAGGAGUCAUCUAAGUCUUGAAAAGGUUUUUUGUUCCCAACUCUGUGGGUCUGGCAGGCCAACUCUGUCCUGGCACCUGGUCAGAUUGGUUAUGGAUUAUUUUCGUCGACACAACAAGUGCUGUUCUAUGUGCUGAGAAUAUAGUAGACAACAAGACAAAGCCCGUAACUUUGUGGAGCUCACAUUGUAACUGAAGGAGAUAAAAAAACAAAUGAACUCAAAACAUAGUAUGUCAGAUGGUAUUAAGUGCUAUGGAAAAAAUAAAGCAAAGCAAGAGAUAGGCAACUCAGGGCAGGAGUUACCAUUUUAUUAAUCUGUUGGCAGUCAGGAAGCCUUUACAAUCAGGGCACAUUUGAG
RNAcentral lists this long non-coding RNA (671 nucleotides) under Equus asinus (donkey). RNAcentral describes it as "lncRNA (ENSEASG00005029084.1)". The record is from RNAcentral. Lineage: Eukaryota; Metazoa; Chordata; Mammalia; Perissodactyla; Equidae.